UAUAUCUUUAAGAUCAUGUGGAAAGGGUCAUGUUAAAGUUAGCGAUUGCUUAUAUGCUUUGUGAUUUGAAUUCAAACUUCAUAAUUACUAGGAUGCUUUUGAGUAAAGUGAGUGAUGGUAUACAUUUUAUAUCCAGCAAUUUAAUAUCCGGAAGUCGUGGACGAUGACAUUGUUUUCGAUAAUACUGAUAAACGAAACAUCGUUGAACCUGAACAUCAGACACUUAUAUUUGAAGAAGUAUCUGUGGUGUCAAAGAAUCGGACUCUUAAAGAUGCACUCAAUGAUGAAGAACUCAAACAGGUUCACCCUUUCUUUGCUUUAAUUAUAUAUGUUAAGAAGAGGUUAUCAUCAAGAUGUUUUGACUUGCACAAAACUGGUAAAGGUUAUAUGAUUAAGUUUUAGUAAUCUAUUAUGUAAUACUAACAGCAAUCGGAAAGAACGGAGGUUGAAACUUCGGUGACCACAGAAAAACAACGAUUGCAGGAUCUGUAGGGCUUGGUUUCAAUCACCGCAUCUUACCUUCAAAAGUGUCACACGCGUGGCUUGGUAAUACAACAUCUAUUUAUUAUUGUUGUUAUUACUGGUGAUGAAGAUGGAAAUAGCAAGGUAGUGAUAACAACACCAACUAAGGUGGCUAGGAAGAAGGCGCGUAGAUGACCGAAUUAGACGAUGAAAGACCAGGAUACAUGAUAUCAUCAAUAUGAAGGUCUGUCUGACAUUGAGAUUGCUAAUGGAUUGACAUCUCUAGACUUGCUCGCUAAUUAAACAUAAUAAUAAGAGUGAUGGGAGUAGGGGUAUUAUCUUUUGGAUGGAGCUUGGCUCAACUUGGAUAGUUGUUCGGUCCUGCGAUCGUUAUUUUUUCUGCGUCACUGAAGUUUCAACCUCUAUUCUUUCUGAUUGCUACAGGUCUCCACACUCAGAGUAACGUCCUGAUUGGAAUACUUCGUAUCUUCAAGUUGUCAGUUACUUUUUGUGUUAGUAUUGCAAUUUAGCAUUAUUUGGAUAUUGCCUCUUACUGGCCGAUAGGUACCAGACAAUGCGUUUCUGUCUAGCAGGAAACAAAGGUUGAGAAUUAUGCCUAAGUUAUACCCUCUUUAAUCCUAUCUUGUUUAUGCUAACAAUAGUACACAAUUUGAGUUUUAUUUUUUUUGUCUUUAUAUAGACUAGACAGACUGUGAGAUCUUAGAAGGAUUGGUGGGAGAAGGUUCCACACCAUAGAUAUUCGAAUGGUAUGUUGCACUUGGAGGAGUCCUCAAAGAAGACACUUCUUUUUCCACUUGUGAUAUGAUCAAAAAACACAAACAUGGAGAAUUCAGUUUUUGUAACUAUAUAUUCUGUGCUAAAAAUUACUAUCUGAUUGUUUACUCUUCCAAAGCUAAUCACUCCAAGGUAUAAUGAAAUUAG
Molecule: long non-coding RNA, 1404 nt
Organism: Helianthus annuus (common sunflower)
Lineage: Eukaryota; Viridiplantae; Streptophyta; Magnoliopsida; Asterales; Asteraceae
Exons: 3
Source: RefSeq, a predicted model, not a curated record